GGGGCAUGUCCAGGGGCAAAAUUCCCUUCUCUGAUCAACACGGUGUCAUCUCAUACUCCUUGAUGGUGACUGGCUGUCUGCUCACUGGAGGUAAGACUUAAAUUCAAAUCAACUUAGACGGUUUUACAACCUGCUAUCAGUGUGGUUCAUUUCCGUUUGUUUAUCUCAAUGCUGUCAUUCUAAGAGAAGUCUAGAGCCCAAAAAAUCACACAUGGAAAUUAUCAUCAUAUUUUGCCAUUUUGCACAGUUUUGUGUUGUACUGCCUAAUAACAUAUACAUGCAAGGGCAGCAUUUUUACACUAGCGAUGUCAUAUCUCUUAUAUCACUGAACAAUCAAAACCAAGAGAGAUGAGACGUCUGGAAUAAGCUUUGUCAACAACAUCAGUGAAGGUCCAUGCAGGAGAAACUGGCCGUACCAAUUUUUUGGAUGGGGUACAAUUUUGAGGUCUGGAGCUGCUGCUAAUGCUCUGAAACUAUUUCGGCUACAUGUGCUAACCUUUUCUGUUCAACACCUUUUGAAUAAAAGCAAAAAUAAAGCAUGAAGUGCAUUAAAACUGUAUUUGUAAUCAGGCAUCACCAUUGCUGAUAAAGUUAUUGGCGAUACCAGCAUAAAACGCCUUCAAUGGACAUAGGCCCUUAUUGUACUUGAGGUGUUCCUAGAGGGAUGGGAUGGUAGGCAUAGUCCCCCCUAUCAGACAUGUGAUUGGCCACUUCUAGGCAAUGAGAAUUAGCCUCAGCAAUGGUGGAACUGAUACCAAAAUAAACUAUUUAGGCCACAGAGCGACACACUGCCAUCAGCUUGAUUGUAAUAAAGCACAUUUUCUCUUGAUAGGUCUUGAAAUUUUGGCAUCCUAUUCUGAGUCACGCUAGAGUAUGACGUAGAGUAGCGUAAGAGUUACGCUAAUGUGUAUAUGUGUAAAUGUUGCCACUCUGCAGUGCUACCGCUAAAUUUGAUGCUCUACAAUGUAACUUUGCGAUAGGGAUGGGAACCAAGAACCGGUUCUUGUUGAGAACCGGUUCCAAAUGGUUCAAUCCACCAACAUCAAUUACAUUUUAUCUUAACGAUUCCUUUCUUUUGAGUGCCUUGAAAAACAGUCUCGCAAGAGCCAGUUAGCGAACGAGAACAGAGGCUUUAAGGAAAAAACAUGGCGGACGGUACGAAAAGUAAGCAGAAACGAUCUAAAGUGUGGCUUUUUUUUACUAAGAAAGACGACAACAGCUUGAUGUGCAACAUUUGUCGAGCAGUGGUAACAUGCAAAGGCUGAAACACCAGCAACAUGCUUAAACAUUUGUCAACAGGGGCAAGGCAUCAACUAUAAAGAGUCACAUAUAUUCAAGGCUCUCCACCGGUUGUUGGCAUGGAAGGUACAUAUGUCCUGUGUUAACAUAAGCACAAUGCAUGCCAGACUUAACAACAUGGUUUGUAUUUGACUUAAUAUCGACCAAAUUAAAUGCUGUACAAAUAGUUUGUCAUUUGACUCUCACUGAAGGUGCCAUAAAUCUUUUUCUGUUAUCAGACUCAAUAAUUUUUGAGUUAACUGUGAAAACCUAUAGUCUACUUUUUUUUUAAUCAAAGAAAGGCAUUGAUAAGGGAGUCGUUAAAGAAUUGAAUUGAUAAGCAGAAUCGAUUAUGUCAUUGAUAUCAAUAAAAUCUUAUCAAUUCUCAUCCCUUGUGUUACUUUUGAUCUGAUACCUUGAUGUAAGCUGUAGUAGCAGAUGUGAUUAGUGAAAGGGCAACUAUAUAAUAUUCAGAUGUAUGUGAAUUAGCACAUACACUUCAUACUGCAUACUUCUGUGGCCCAGUUGGGCCACCCCAGUCCAAAAAGUCAGGACAUGCCCAGCAGCAAGCAGGUUAACUACGAACAAAUAAGGGCCAUGGGGUAAGGCCCUUGGAUCUAGGUCUGCAGCGGAUAGCACUAAUCUAGAAUCAAGCAACAGGGUCAGACAAGGAGAGUGAUUUAGUCCGCCUCUUUUGGCCUCUGCAUCUAGAAGCAUUCGAUUCAUUUUAAACUGCCCAAAAAUAACGAGCAAUCAAGAAAAUGGUUAUUCUCGCAUUUCAAUUAGCCUAAUUAAAGAGAGGGGGCAGCAGGCUACUCUGAAGAAUGGCAUGCACUUCUGUAUGGUGUGUAUUUGUAGGUGUGUGUGUGUAUGUGUGAGAUAGAGCCAGAGCCUCUCCAAGGGGUUCAGCUGGAACACUGCAUCAGCAGUCAGAAUGAGAAAUUAACCGUUUGCUUUCUUCCCUCCACAGCCUGAAGCUGAGACACAAUCUGGUCAGCGCACUGAGAGGAUUCAGAAGCAUACAGCGCAACAUCAGUCCAUCAUCAAUCAUUCAUGACCCUGAUUCUCCAAGUUGGUGUAAAAAUGCUCACCAGUUUUAUGCCUUCGUCCACAGCAGUUUUUAUUUAGAUCAUUUGGAUGUGAAGGAGAUGUUGGCAGUGAAAGGGUUAAGACUAAGUUCAGAAUCCAGUCUAACGGUGAGAGCCAGAUGGUCAUGUAGAGCACUUACAGUGACAUGGGCCUACACAGCUCCCCCUGCUGGAACACCCACCCCCACAUGCGUGCAUGCAUGGAUACACACACACACACACGCACGCACACACAAAAGGAACUCAUUAGCAUGCAAACACUCACAUGAACAUUUCUAGCAGAUAAGAGCACUGUGAUUCCCAGGUCAUUUACCCCCCUCCCCCUUCUUUCUUCCUCAACACUUUUCCUCUUUCUCUCUUUCACUUUCCCACUCCUCCUCUUCUCAUCUCCCUCGGUCUCAGUCUGAUGGCCAGAGUUAAUUGGCUGCUGUCUAAUUGCUGCUCAUUAGCUUGAGUAACCAAACAUGUGAGGCGUAGCAAACAAAACCUUCCUCUGGCUCUCUCUCGUCUCUGCACUAUUUUUUUUCUCAAUUCCCAUUUCAGGUUCCUUUUCUACGCAUUACCUGUUUGUGUUUGUCUCUUCAUCUUUCACUUUGCCGCUUCACUUACCCUGAUAAACUGAAAAACAUCUGAGAAGCAAAGAUGAGUGAGUGCAAAGCAAGCCAAAUAAACAUCGAAUUUUUACAAUAGAACUGCUUUGUAGCUCACCAAACGUUCCUUCUUGUUCUAGUUUUCCACAUAGUGCUGUGUAAUCUUCUCUGCAUGCAUAUAACUCACGCACACUCACGAGAAUAGGCAUAUGCACUACUUUACACACAUCCUAGAAAUCCUCAUAAUGCAUUCAAACACCCACCCACUUGUGCAGACACUCACAUCAGAGGGGCAAGCCUCCUCGCCCACACCCGCUGGCAUUUGGCAGGUUCUCUAUAUUUGGGUAGCGCCCCUCCCAGGAGCCCAGCCUUUGCAAGCCCCCUCCCUACUUAAUCUAUCUUAGAAAAACCUCAGGGGUUUAAUUCCUCUCUCAAGGCAAAGUGCUUUGCUGGCAUGGCAGCCAAAUCCAUACAAGAGUGCAUCAAGCUUUAAAGUGGACAUCUCAACAGCAGCGCAGUUUAGUCGGAGUGACAUGAAAUAUGGAGCAUAGUGUGUCACUGUAGAACAAGAAAGAACAAAAAUUGGUCCAAGGCUGCUGCUUGCCUACAGGGAUGGAGGGAGCCGUGGUGAUAAACACUGCGAGCAGAGUUACACAAUGCACACACACAGGCAGACUGACACACACAUCCGCCCACUCAUGCCCACUUGCAAACCUUGUGAUAUGCCAAGAAAAUUAUUUACUACUCAGGAGCAGGCCCUAAAUGAUUAGAUUAGUCUCCUGGCUCCGUGGGUCUGACGGUGCUGCGACACAGGAUGAGACAUCUCCAACAUAAGAGCUAUGACACAAGAAAUAAAGAACCAGUAAAUAUGAUCAAGUAUAAGAAAGAGGACGAUGGACAAAGUGGGUGACUGGAAUGAACUUCACCAACCUGUAUUGUACCCUACAGCGAGUCACUCGUGUCUCCUACCACGCAGAGUGACGUUUGCAGCCCCCAAAUAUUCAUCACUUUGACAAAAUCAAUCUCCGAGACAAAAAUGUUCUCACUUAAGAAACUCUACCUAUUCUGAGGGGUUCACUUUUAUUGAACCAAAGAAAUGCACACCUUUUCUUUAAGAUCAGCAGUUUUCUGUAGUGAAGCUAAUGUAAAAAGAGCAGCUGUAACCUAGGUUUCUGCAGGAACAGGUUAACGUGGAGUGAUAAACCUACACUAGGAUAUUACCUGAAUAAGCAGCUCUCCUCAACUUAUCAGAGCUUUGUAAAGAGCUUAAGUCCAGCUAAAUUGCUCACAAUGGCUCUCAGGGUGUUGUUUACUGCUACAGCAGGAAGCUCUCUUCACUGAAACUGAAGCAGUCCAUUGUAAGCUGUCUGCUCUGCACUAAAGAGCAGAGUAAAACCUCAACUAGAAUUUACUGUAGUGUAGACUUGGCAACCAAAAACUCAUGUUAAUGUCUAUAAAAAAAACAAGGUAACAGUCUUUUGUGUCUGUAAUUUAGCAUGGCAUUAACAAAGAGUCAUGGGAUGAGGUUUCCCUAAGAUGAAAGGGACAAAUCAGGUUCACCCAUUGCAGCCGAACAUAUCCCAUGAAUCUAUAAGCACAAUUUCAAAUUAGAUGGUGAACUCCCUAACCGUCAUGUAGUCUGAUACAGUGUUGAAUUAUAAUACAAGAACUUUACUUAUCCCCAAAGGAAAUUUCAUUUGUCUGGGAUCUCAGAUAAACCAAGUUAUGAUCUGACUUGUCCAGUGGUGGUAAGGCAGUGGCUCUGUAAGCGUCUUUGAUGUUGGCAUACAGCAGAUCCAGGGUUUGUUUUCUCUGGUAGGACAGUUCACAAACUGUGUGAAUCCAGUCAGGUGAGAGGAGAGGGUGACAUGGUUGAAGUCUCCUUAAAUAAUUAUUAUUAGUGCCUCAGGGUGUUGAGUCUGUAUCCUAACAACAGUAUUAUGCCAAAGUUCGCAUGGAAUUUCAGCUGUUGUCUUGGGUGGGAUGUAAACAAGUAUUGUUAUGAUAUGACUGAAUUCUCUUGGAACAUAAUAUGGCAGAAGAACAACUGCCAACAGUUCAAGAUCUGAACACAACUUCUCCUCGGCAGUUAUGUAUGAAGGGUUACACCAUUUCUGAUUGACAAAUAAAGCCAGACCUCCUCCUUUCUUCUUGCCACUAACUUGAGCAUCUCUGUCUGAUCUUAUGAGAGUGAAACCAGGUAGAGCCACACUGGAGUCCAAGUUGUCUUGAUUCAACCAGGUUUCAGUAAACCACAGGAAACUGCACUCAUGGUAUGAUUUCUCAGUCUUCACCAAUAUCUCCAGCUCAUCGCUUUUGUUGGGCAGAGAGUUGAUGUCUCCUAUGAUGACUGAUGGAAGAAAGGGUUUGUAUCUCCAUUUCCUAGCCUUCAGCUUUGCCCUCACCUUUACACAAGCACGGCAACCACAAAAACACUUCCUGAUUUUUGCAGGAAUUAGAUGUUGUUGUACGGAUUUGCUCUGUCUCAAUGAAAGAAGCUCUUCUCUUGAACAAACUCUUCUCCCAACAGAAAAAUCCAUCAGCAGCUGACAAAAUCCGAUAAAAAUGUGAGAAAGUAGAGCAAAAAUUGCAAAAAUUUAAAGACGCCAGACUUUGCUGCUACUUGGUUGAACACAGGUUUUAGAAAGCAUGUUUGCCUCCAACCUAAAAGGUUGGUGAUCCAUACAAAUGCUAAAAAAGACACAUUUUUAAACUUGAAACAAUCUUUAAAAUGAUGCUCAUGGUGGUUAAGCAUGUUAGCUCGUUAACCAUCUAGCUGGGGACUGGCUAACAGGAAAUCCUCUGUAUCUAGAGUGUCUCAUUUAAACUUAACCUAACGAGGCUGGACCCUUCAUAGAAACCUAGCUUGAAUUGGCACACACCUGUCAUAAAAUAGUGAUUCAGAAAAUGUGUCUGUGGGUCAUUUUGGGACUGCUGGUAAGUAUAUUAUCAAAUACCUAACAGAUUUGUCAUAUUUGCCAAAUUUGUCCUCACCUUGUGCUUUUGCUCUUUAAAGGGCUAAAAUAACUUGAAAAAAGUAGUAAGUGAGUUGGUGUGUUAGCUUGGUUCAGUUUAUUUGGCUACUUGGAGGCAGCAAACUGAGCUUGGGUACUUUAGCAUUUUGUGAAUGCAGCCUUACUUUUUUGGCUACUAGGCAAACAUUCAUUUAAAAUCUACUCUCUGGUCAUUGUCCAUCAACACCUGAGAGAAACAACUCUCUUUUUAGCUGCUGAAUGCUUCCCUGUGUCCACCAGCUUUCUGCUAACUGUGUUUUUCUCUGUCAUGUGCUGGGCUGGUAGUGUAGAAUAGGAAUAAGUCCUUUCACAUAAAACAAUUGUGUGCUAUGGUCAGUAAUGGUUUUGAGGGUAAACUUAAAGAUUAAAGCUUCUAGAUAAUCAAAAGACUGAUGUGAAAAUUGCUAGCUUAAGCUAAGGCAAACUGCAGAGUUGGGGAAUAAAUCUUCCUGGGUUCUCCCACAGGAGCUGUCAUUUUUCCCACCAAUGACUAGCUUUAACUGCUUUGGGGGGGGAACGUAAUCAUAAAUAAAAAUGGGAGAAAAAAAUUAACAUAAUUGUUCAGAAAAGAAUUUGCAUGCUGGGGAAUUAAUUUUUUUAACUCAUUUGGGACCCUACUUUAGGCUGUUCUGAGAGUAGGAGGACAAAAACUCACCAAAUCUUCUAUUAGUAAAUGGAAUUUAGGACAAAAUCUAACAAUACAGGUCUGCCUCUGAGCACAAUGUAUAAAAAUCGAGUACGGGCAUCAGAAGUUUUCAUAGACAGAGAGCUGCCAUGACUCUGCACAUGAUCCCUGAUGUUGCAGCCCCUGGACCUCAGCUGUAACAACUUGUGUAAGGAUGUGUUUUGACCAGAGUCACCAGCAACUGCCACUCAUGUUCACCACAGGACUGAAAGGUUCCUGACUCAAACACAUGCUGCAUAUGUGGGCCUGGGUCCUCUAAAGGGCUCCAGGCUACGGGCAGGGGGCUUGGACAUAAUGUAAGAUCACGGUGAAGAAAAAAGACUGGCCAAACCGUGUUUGCUCGAGGGGCUCUUGGACAGAUGCUGCGACCAUGCAGGCUGGUAGUUGUGCUGCAGAGAAAGAAGAAGCUAUCUGAGAAAGGAAGGAACAAGAUAGAUAAAUUUGGCUUAAAGAGAGAAAAUUAAAUUCUCUGAUGAGGAAUUACUGUGGACGAUGGAGGUGGCUGAUGGGUGAGGGGGAGUCAAAAACAACAUCAACAAAGAAUAGCAGUAUAAGAAAGUGAGAGACAGCUAGAAAAAGAAAAAGAGAGAGGGAAAAAGAGAUAGAGAGAGAGGUGGGCGAUUGGCCUUAUGAGAGAGUUGUCAUGGUAACAACUGAUCAUGAUGAGGUUGAGAAUGAUCAGAGAGGACUUUUGGAAAGAAAGUGCAAAUACAUACAGAAGAUACAUAACCCCACUGGACUUGAGGCACCAAUACGAGAUGAAAUUAUGUAAGAAUUGGCAACAUGGGAUGGAAACCAGUUCAAAAGUUUGCUGUUAUGGUUGACUUUCAAACUUCAUAUUUAACAACCAUUCAAUUUACAUCUGAUUAAGCUGAAGCACAGCAUAGCAGCUCUCAGGAGAAAUAUGGUUUCAUUAAAUAAUCAAAGGUGGUUUCAUAAAUAAUGUGGGGGUUGUUUGUGCUAAGCUUUAUUGCAAAAUAAUACGGCUGCAAGUUCAACCAGAUGAUCUUUGUAUAUAUUAAGUUACAGGCUUUUUGAAUCGUCUGUAUAAAUGGCAGAGUGGCUUGAGGAUAUAUGCGUUAUUGAAUCAGGUAAAAGCCUUGUUGAGAUUAAAAUCUUCAUUUUCUCAAGAGUGAGCCAGGAGAGCAUCAUAAAAACUGUCGCAGCAAAAACACAAACAACACAAACAGGUUACACACUAAUGAAACUGAAGUCUAGUUAUUAUACAGUAAGGGGCUGAGACAGUCAGAAACUGUUUAUAAUGCACAAGCAGCUACAGUCUUCUAAAAUGAUUUCAAUAAAGCAGAAAAUAAGUUUUGAUAGGGGCAUAAUGCCCCAGACAUAUUGUAUAUGACAAAAAUAAUUAGGUGAUAUUUUAUUUAAAAUACUUAACAGGUUGUAAAAUCUUGGUGCCAGAAUUUUUUUGGGGAAAUGCUUCUUUGGCACUGAAGCGUAUUUGUUGUCCAUUUACACCCUCUUUCACUAUACAACAUGGGCCCUAUCUCGUGACUGCUUGAGGAGAUGUGCAGCACGCAGUUCAAGUGCUUUUACGUUUAGAAUUGGGGAUUGUGUUGUUGCUUUAAACUGAGAAAAAUGUAAAUACAUUUAACUAAUAUUUAUGACCUGGUUGUGGUACGGCCAUAUUUCUGAUUGGUCAAACCUUGUACAAAGGUCUCAAGAGCAAAAGCAGCCUGAUCACACAUAUCAAAUCCAAUCAUUUUGCAGAAUAAAGUUUUGUAAAUUUUACCUGCUCCCUGUUGUGGCAGAAAAAAAGGUGAACAAAGUGGCAAAAAUGGAAAUUUCCAUCUAAGACUAGUCUUGACAGUCUGAAAAUAACGACUUCUACUGUGCACAGAUGCUGGAUGCAAACCAUCUCCGAUUGGGAAAAUGGAGUAAGAUUAUGUCCUGCAAUCUGGGCAAUGUCAGCAUAAACGGUCAGUUUAAUUAGAUUCAUGUUUUAACUUGACUGUGAAUGGAAAUCUUCAUUUUGAUGUUAAUGUUAAUUAAUUUGAUGUUAAUUAAUUUGUUCUGCAAGAUGGCUGAACAGACUCUAAUCACUUAAUUAUUUUUUUAUUGAUGAAACCACCUUCAAAUCAUUAUCUCAAGUCAGUUUGUUUAUGUGUUUAUUUUAUAGCAGGGUAAUUAGUGGGACAAGAUGAGACCCAGGAUAUACACAGAUAAUAAGUGGGAUCAAGCAGCACAUUUAUGGUUUGUUUAAAAAAAUCAGUAUUGCCAAAGUCCAGCUGAAACUGGACUUCUAAAAACAUAUGAACAUGUUAGACUGUUUAUGCACUAAAUCAAAUUUCUCAUAGUCAGAACACAUCUGGAUAAUGAGGUUGGGUCAUGUAUGCUGCUCAAUCGAGCUGAAACUGGCCUAAGCGUUCUGUGCAUGUUCUUGUGUUUGCACGCCAGGCUAUGAAGUUAAAUAGCACGAAUGCAUUACUAGAAAGUGAGGUAGUAAACAAAACCUAGACAGAUGAAGAAAGGAUGCCACCCACCAUAGCAGAGGAGGACAUAUUUCAGUUGAUAAUUCCAGUCUUCUCCAGUGUAUAUAUACUGGGACAAGGACAGUAAUCCAGUGAGAUCACCUAAUUAAACUUUAACAGUAGCUUGACUUAACCAUUCAUGUAAAUGUGCUAAGGAAGAGACGGCCCCUUCACUUUGCAGUGGAGCCCUGCUUACCCUUUUGGGACUGUAGUUUGAUAACCACCAGUUUACUUAACAUUAUUCAUGACUUCACCAUCACCACAAUCUCCACAAAACCGUCUCUAUUCUUACACUUGCCUGAGCAUACACCUAUUUUGUAGAGUUUAAGGCCAACACUUAGUGUACAAGUCCCAACCAAAGCACAACAUCAUGAUUAUGACAAAGCAAUAAAUGAAUUUGUUCAUUCCCCUUACAUUAAUAAAGCAUGGUUGUGGCAUUCGAUCCAGGAAAGAAUAAGGUUCUCUGAUGCAGCGUGUUUUGUAGGAAAUGAAUUAUUAAUAAAGGUAAAAUAAUUUACUCGUUAAAUUGGACCUCUUUGACUCAUACAGUGUUUCAUAACUGUUAAAAAAGUUUACCAGAGAUUCAAAAGUGAUACCACAUAGUUGUUGCUUGCUUCUUACUCCUGGUUCGACAGCUCCCUGUCUUAUUGUUUUGCCACAGGUCUUUCUUGGCUGAAGUUAAAUUCUAUCUAUGCUCUGCUUUGUUGGUGCUGCUGAGAAAAUAAAACUUAGUGAGCUAUGGGCAACUUUGACUGUCUGUCCCUUUUGGCAAGACAAGACUGAACAGACACACAUAGACAGGACUUUUUAAAUAAUGUUUGUGUCUGUAUGCUUUGUCUUGCUUCGCUUAGAGGGACAACCUCCUCUUCCCUUGUGAGUCGAACUACAGUCUUGACUGAGUUUGGGAGCAUGGACGUCUCAAAGGUGAAAACUAUGCUGUAGAAAUCAUACUAAAAUGAAGGUAUGUAUUUCUCUCCAAGAAAUGUUGUCAUAGCAACGCCACAGAAAAUUCAACAAGAAAACAAGGAGGAAGAAAAAUGUGUAUGUUUGUUGUAUGUGGAGGUAUUGUUAAAAUUAGAGCUAAAAUGAGAUUUGCAAAUAUCGAUUUUUCUUUCUGAUUGCUCUUUUAAAGAGGGGGCAUUGUACUUUUCCAUUUUUAAAAUAUUGAUAGAUAAAUAUAUAUAUAUUAAUAUAAAGGUGCAAGGUUAGGUGUCCAUUCUUAACAGAUGCAAAUUUCAGAUUGCAAGGUAAAUGUAUUUUAUAAUAAUCCUAGAAUCUGGCUGUAAACUGCUCACAACUAUUAUUAUAAUAUUAUCUUCCCAGGAUACCUGUAACACUUACCGAAGCAAUGAGGUCAUUGCAUACGGCUCUAACUUGAAAUGUUGCAGGAAAUACCUCAUUUCCUUAUAAGCUGCCCAUUUAUUUAAAGCUGUAAAAUGACAGAGUAAUGAUGAAAUGGUGGUGAUUUGUAAGAUUCCCCCCAAA
This 10626-nucleotide long non-coding RNA is filed under the name Xyrichtys novacula (pearly razorfish). Lineage: Eukaryota; Metazoa; Chordata; Actinopteri; Labriformes; Labridae. The record is from RNAcentral.